Long non-coding RNA from Aethalodelphis obliquidens (Pacific white-sided dolphin), 2590 nucleotides. RefSeq lists it as uncharacterized. The transcript has 3 exons. NCBI's taxonomy places the organism in Eukaryota, Metazoa, Chordata, Mammalia, Artiodactyla, Delphinidae. The record is from RefSeq and is a predicted model, not a curated record.
UUCUGAAAGCUGUUUGAUGCACAGUUGCUACAGGAAGUCCACGCCCUGGGGGAGGGAUGGUGGACGGCAGUCCUGGCAGCACCCACAGGAGUUGGUCGGUUGAAGGAAAACCAUAUUCCAGGCUAUCGCUGUGGUACCGUGGUCUGAGGGCACCAUUUCCUCUCGCCUGGGAGGGGAGCAGGCAAGGUGGGGCCCCACUGCCAGGAGCCUCUCUCUCCUGGGCUGGGCUCUUGGACCUCACGUCUGCGUUAAUGCAAACUGCCAGGCGGUCACCCGGCAGUGCCUUUGUGAGAAGCAGCCAGGGACGCCAGAGUACAGGCCUAAGUAGCAGGUGCAGGGAGAAUGAGCUGCAGGACCAAGAGGCACCUGAAUUUAACAUAUUUUUACUGACUGAGCAUUUUAAGAUGGCCUGUUUGUCGAGGUGUCUAAUUUUCCUUUGAAAGAAAUUUAAGAUUUUACCACACCCAGAUGAAAAAAUCCGACAUGCUGACCCAUUUGAACUGAAUCCCCCUUCUAAUGAAGACAAUUUCUUUUUUUUUUUUUUUUUAGGAAUGGCAAUAACUUGUCUGGGUGAUUGGAUUUUAUAUACACGAAUUUCAUCUCCAGUGGCAGCACAGUGACUUGGUCAUAAUAGAUAAAGGAAGAUCUAAAGCUGCCUGGACCGAAGGACGCUCUUGAUCACAUGGGAUGUAGCCGUGGCUGCGUGUCAACAGUGUUUCUGGUCAGAAUCUCCGUGUCCACGAGGUCAGUGGGUAGGUUACUGGAGGUACAUUGCAAAUCAGGGUACAAAGCCUGCUGUGCACCGAGAAUACACACCAGCUGGUGCUCGCAAGGACUGCCGUCCAUCGGUACAACUGCUAUCUUUCUGCUGCAUUUGGGCCUCUGGUGUAUUAAACGAGCAGAACCUACCUGAACGCAAGGACCCACCUCCCGGUGUUGGCGUCUGGGGACAGGUUGGGAGCUACACACAGUAGAAAAGUUGUGGCUGGAAUGAGCUCUGUCAGUAGCUGCUGUUGGGGGCAAGUCAUCCCUGGGGCGUCCUGAACAGGCCCACGUGCAGCAGGGCACAGACGGGCUCUGCUGGGGCUGAGUGCCAAGGGCGGGAUGCGGUGAUCAGGCAAACGCAGGGUGACCCUCCAUGAACACGUCAGUGACAGGCGGCCGAGUGCAAGUCCCACUUCCUGGGUGGGGCGUGGGGACAGGACAUCCCAGCAGGGUGGCAGAGAAGACACGGCUGACACAUGAGACUAGCCCCCAAGGUUGGGUCUCUUCGCUGCCAAAGCCAAGGGGCCCAUGAACUGUGUGCCAGGACUCAGGUGGCUGUGGCUUGUGCGUGGAUGCGGUGGGAACCAGUCUCCUCAGCGUUUUGUGUAACUGCAGAGGAAGGUGAGUUCUGACGGAGCUUCCCGUUAACCAUUACCACGUUAUAAAUCAAUGAAAAUUUACCAAACUCUAGAAGAGGCAGCUACACACCCGGGCUGACGACAGCCGUCUGGGCUCUCCCACCACGACAGCGUCACUGUGCCACCGCCGCCUGGCCCGAGGAGCAGCGCCACCUCCUUGGGACGUAAGAAAGAGGGUGUUCUUAUUACUUCUUCAAGGAGGUAUGAACCUAGUCUGGCUCUAUAUCCCCGUCGUAUCUGAAGGGCUGUAUCUAGACUCGUGGGAUUUAGAGCUAGAUCGGUUCUCAGAAGUCGCUUCCUCCGAUUGUCUGUUGUUUCACGUGGAGAACGAGGCUUAGAGGGUACGUAGCUGCAGGCCUCUCGGCAGCCGGGGACGUGCCCCGCGCUGGUCUCCGAUGCCAGCAGUGAGUCCCUUAUUAAAUUGUGACGUGUAUUAGUGGUAGUAGGUUUAUAUGUAGGCAUAUAUUUGUUAUAUUUGGUAUUAACUUGCCUAAUAAAUAGGCAGUAUUAGUGAAACCAAGAUUUCAGUAGGAUGGCUACUGGAAAACCGAAGGAGUUAAAUGUUUUUCCCAUUAGACUCAGUCGUCUUUUUCUAAAAUCAGCUGAGGAAGCUGUGUGACAGAUGACAACGACCAGCAGAAGUUCAAGUAUUCUUUAUUCAAAGUUGAAAAAUGUACCACACUGCAUUAUUGCAAAAAUUCACUGGUACAAAACACUUUGCAGCUGGUGAGAAGGCAAUAAAAAGUUGAUUUUUAAACUCAUUACUAUAAAUUAUUCUUACAGUACUUUUAGCAAAUUCAGAAUUUCAAACUGCAUUUUCUUUUUCUAAAUCGCCCACAGUACUCGAGGUUCCUGAAGCUAAGGCAGCUGUUCCAAGAGGAGAAGGGGGGAGGUAGCAGACGUCAAGGGAUUUCCAUUUCUCUUUCGAUGCCCACGUACUUGAGGGCGUCAGCCUGGCUGUAUCUGAAACAAACAGCAAGAAAAAGGGGUGAUAAAAGCUGUGACAAGGACUGAAGCCGUGUAGCUUAACUUCCAAACAAACCAAACCCACAAGCCCAAGCUGAAAAGGCAUUUUAAAUUCACUUCUCAUCAAACCCAACAGACUUGCCCAAUGAAAAUCAGUCCCAAGCAAAGUGAGUACAGAUGACGCCCGCAAGCAUCCCUCUGUCUGCAACUGGACGGCUGUG